Molecule: long non-coding RNA, 286 nt
Filed under: Manihot esculenta (cassava)
Lineage: Eukaryota; Viridiplantae; Streptophyta; Magnoliopsida; Malpighiales; Euphorbiaceae
Description: long non-coding RNA (MESC_LNC003132)
Source: RNAcentral
CCUGUCCAACUCCCUUUGAGCAAUUUUAUUGCUAUGCAACCCUCUUAGAACACUCUUACAUGCAUCCACAGCUUUGUAUACCUGUAUGUUUAUGGAACCAAACUGAUUAAUUUCUUCGGACUGAUAAAAGAACUAAAUGCAAAUAUAAAGAAAUGAAACCCACCUUGCCUGGAGUUGAUGUUACAGAUAUCACAUACCAUCCAAGCUUAAGCCUAUCAAAUAGGCUUAACUCAAAUGACACAUCGUAUGUCAGUCCAAGAGAAUCUCUGACAGUGGUGAAAAGCCU